GUUUGCACUUGUCGGAGAAGGGUGAGAACCUUCGAUUAAGGUUCGACUCGAGCGAAAGCGAGAGAACGUUGCCAACGGCAACGGCCCGUAGGGUGAGGAGCGAAGCGACGAAUAAUCCUUCCCCCACCACCA
This 132-nucleotide small RNA is filed under the name Salmonella enterica subsp. enterica serovar Infantis. RNAcentral's name for it is "RtT sRNA". It matches the Rfam family "RtT RNA". Rfam says of the family: This family represents a bacterial cis-regulatory element known as RtT RNA. The exact function of RtT is unknown although it is thought that it may be involved in changing the cellular response in relation to amino acid starvation. RNAcentral also lists the same sequence under 3 other names. Lineage: Bacteria; Pseudomonadati; Pseudomonadota; Gammaproteobacteria; Enterobacterales; Enterobacteriaceae. The record is from RNAcentral.